Molecule: long non-coding RNA, 1398 nt
Organism: Aegilops tauschii subsp. strangulata
Lineage: Eukaryota; Viridiplantae; Streptophyta; Magnoliopsida; Poales; Poaceae
Source: RefSeq, a predicted model, not a curated record
CCAGCGCGCCCCCCGCCGGUACGUGUCCGCGCGUCCUCCGCCCCUGUUCUUUUAGUUAAAAGGGCUCAGAGACGGCGGUCCAAUGAGCGAGCGCAGGAUGAUGCUCUCCGUCGGCCGGCGCCGAUGCGGCCAUGCGUAGCGUACGGAGCAACCGUUUAUGUAUUGGGGGGUGCGCAUGGGCAUGGCACCGGGCGCGCGCGGGCUGAUGGUGUCAGGUCGAUCGCGCGGGGACUUUUGUUAAACGGGGGGCAGAGAAUCUCGGUCAAACGACGGGGGCGGUUUAACUUUGUGGCUAAACAAAUCACCACCCUACCGGCUUUGCGAAAGUCACCACGAUCAGAUGCUCGGUACUUUGUGGACUGAUGGAAACAGAGGACCUGCGUGGAAAGGCCUACAUCUUUCUUGAGUUCAAGGCUGGGGUGAGGUUCCUGAGGAUAUUCGUUCUGUGGGAGGAGACAUUUUCGUCGACUACGGAGGCGUCAGUGGCGGCUUCGUCAAUCUCAAAAUAAUGUGUUGGUUCAGUCUCUCAGAGGUGCUCAUAGGGAUAGAGGAGCAUGCGUGCGUACAUUCAUUCAAGGUCAUGGAGGCACGGUGGAUUCUGUCCUUUGUUGGCGGGAGGGCUCAUGCUUCAUUUUAAGUAUUGCUAAGGAAGGCAAGGCAGCGGCGCUUCUUUAACGAUGGAAUAAGGUUCUACCCGCCUAGGAUUUGUCCCCGCAGUGCGUCUCACGUCCCAACGGAUCUUGCGGGAUUUUGUUGUCUUUGGUAGAUUUAUGUGGAUUUGAUCUUCGUCCGUCUGUGUUACGUCUACAAGUCUAUGCUUCUCGUCAUCGGCGACGAAUGUUGUUCUGGGGUGCUAGUCCUUUUGGGCCUUAGCAUAACGGCUUCUUGACUGUUCACUAGAACAUAGUUUGUCCGACUCCGGUGAGGGAGGAGCGAUGACAACGACGCACCUUCGCCUCACUCUAGUGUUUGUAGUUGUCGCUCGAGGUCUACAUACAUGGAUGCAAUUUUUUGUAACUUCUCGUGUUUUUUGUACUGUCGUGAUGUUUGAUGAAUAGAUCGAAAAUUUUACCCCAAAAACAUUAUAAACUUUGCUCCAUUUUGGGGCCGUUUGGUUUGUACUAACUUUGCCAAAGAUUGCCACAUCUAAGGUUUGGCAAGUUUGACCAAUUUAGGCAAGUGUUUGGUUCCAGACACACCUUAGGCAAGCUACACUUGGGUCUCACAUGGCAUACACACAAAAAUUGUGGUAAAAUUCCCUUAGGCUUGCCAACUUCUCUUUGCUGACGUCUCGGUGCCCCUGCUCCCCCCGCCACGCCCAUCUGACAUCUAAGAUUAGGCAAGUUUGACCAAUUUAGGCAAGUGUUUGGUUCCAGACAAACCUUAGGCAAGCCACAC